GUGGGGAAUAUUGGACAAUGGGGGGAACCCUGAUCCAGCCAUGCCGCGUGUGUGAAGAAGGCCUUUUGGUUGUAAAGCACUUUAAGCGAGGAGGAGGCUACCGAGAUUAAUACUCUUGGAUAGUGGACGUUACUCGCAGAAUAAGCACCGGCUAACUCUGUUCCAGCAGCCGCGGUAAUACAGAGGGUGCAAGCGUUAAUCGGAUUUACUGGGCGUACAGCGCGCGUAGGUGGCCAAUUAAGUCAAAUGUGAAAUCCCCGAGCUUAACUUGGUAAUUGCAUUAGAUACUGGUUGGCUAGAGUAUGGGAGAGGAUGGUAGAAUUCCAGGUGUAGCGGUGAAAUGCGUAGAGAUCUGGAGGAAUCCCGAUGGCGAAGGCAGCCAUCUGGCCUAAUACUGACACUGAGGUGCGAAAGCAUGGGGAGCAAACAGGAUUAGAUACCCCAGUAGUCC
RNAcentral lists this ribosomal RNA (451 nucleotides) under uncultured bacterium. Its description in RNAcentral is "partial 16S ribosomal RNA". It matches the Rfam family "Bacterial small subunit ribosomal RNA", at positions 354 to 796 of the family's 1533-position model. The record is from RNAcentral.